Octopus bimaculoides (California two-spot octopus) is the source of this 2259-nucleotide long non-coding RNA. Lineage: Eukaryota; Metazoa; Mollusca; Cephalopoda; Octopoda; Octopodidae. The record is from RefSeq and is a predicted model, not a curated record.
AAAUAUACAAAACAAUACGUACAACUUGGUUGGAUACAAAUCAGUAUCUGACUGCCGACUCAUCCAUAUGUCGUUCUGAAGCUUGGAAAUGGUAUGCAAGUAAACCAUCUCAAUGGAUGAUUAUUUGGCGGCAACAUUGGAUGACAAACUAAAUUGAUUGAGUUCCAAGCUGAAUAUCUAUGCAACCAGGAAUAUCGAAGCCAAACAAGAUUGCUUGAAAAGAAAGAAUUAAAGUAGUAUAAAGAGGAUUAUCUUUCGUCGUUAAUAAAAGAAAAAACAGCGGAUUAUAUGCCAUUUUCUUUUACAUUUGAUAAGAAAUUUCAAAUCACGCAUAUAUACACCCACAAAGACACAUAUUCCUCACCUUAACUACCCGCUUAUGUCAAUAAGCACACACACUCAUAUAUAAACGUAUAUACACACAACCACACAUAUGUGUUUCUGUGUGUUCCUAUAUUUUUCUCAUCUAAAUACCGUCUGUGAUAUAUGAAAAUACCACGUCUUGUGAUUUCGUAAAUUUUGCCCUUGUCACCACAACGUAAGCAUAGUGCAAUAUGAAUUAUAUCGAAUUCAUUCCAGCUUUUCCUGUUACACUUGUUUCAUCCAGCCGAAGUUAAUUAACUUCAAUAAGCAUUGCAAUAAGAAUACCAAUCAAUUAUAUGAUACGUUGAUAAUAAUUAACAUCUAACAGCAGUUCAGUUUACGUUUUAGUGUUUGCGCAUUAGUCAACAAGCAGUAAACCUGGAUGAGUUCUGUCUUUUUAACUUUUCUCGUUUCUUUCUGGUCAGAGAUGACCUAUAGCAAAUGACUUGCUUCUAUAAUUAUUACUAUCACCGCUAAGAAACACUAUUUUCCUUUGUCGUUCCUCCUCCUCCUCCUCCUACUACUACUACUAUCAUUAUUAUUAUUGUUAUUAUUAUCAUUAUCUUCAGCAACGAACUUGCAUAUAUUUGCUCUUGCUUUGCCCAGAAUAUUUCUUACGGAUAAAGAUAUAUAUAAAUAUAUUUAUAUUACCUUUGGAGGAAUUAAUUAAAAUUAAAAAAAGGCAUUACCGAAUAUCCUCUUCAAAACACGAGAAGAAAAUGAAAUGUAUUGAAAACUCAAUUACCGAAAAACAAAAAGAAUUAUCCAAGUACUAAUAUAUAUAAGUAUAUAUAUAUAUAUAUAUAUAUAUAUAUAUAUAUAUAUAUAUAUAUAUAUGAAUAUAUAUGUAUACUGUUAUACAUAUCACCAAGGCGUAAUAAACAAUAAGUUGAACCAAUUGAACCCUAACUAUUAUUAUAACCUGCAAUUCUUUUUACGAUGAUAAUAAUGUGCAAUAAUCGAACCAGUAUUUAUUCAUAGUUCAUAAAUCAUUUUGUCACGAAAUACCUAUGUAUGAUAUAGGAAAUGCAUACUAUUUAACAACGAACACAAAAGAACCCCUGCUUCUAAUUUUUGCAUCGGACCAGAAAUUUGUUUUAAAAAUAAACGUGGAUAUUUUGAAUUUAAUCCAAACUGAAAUUUCACUCAAACAUUUUAUUUCAUCGAGGCACGUGAAAUUUUCCGACUGAACCAAUUAAUGUGAAAAUAAGCAAAAGUAUAACUGUUGUGUUAUAUACUCCUAUAUUUUUUCAUGGAAGAAGCUAGCUGCUCGACACCGUCUACUGAAAAGUGUAAAUAUUUUAAUUUCCUCUUGAAUGUACUUCUUUGAAACUACCAAACAAUUGUGGAUUUCUCAAACUAAAAUUGAGUGAAAUAUUUUUUAUGUAGCUUCAAGAUAAGAACGAAAACUUGAGAAGUUAUUUUUGGAAAGUAUGCGCAAGAAACAUAUACAUAUCUCUCCAUUCUCACCAAAUUUAUCUUCACCAUCGUUGUUAUUAAUAUUUUUGCUAACAAUGACAAUAAUUCUAUUAUUAAUAGUAUUAAUACGACUAUAAGUGAAAUUUAUAAUAUAUUUAUUAACACGAAUUAUGUACAAAAGAAAAGAUUAAUACCUUCAAAGACACAUAUGUAUAAAAAUAUAAUUCUCCUAGUCUAGUGUUCCAUUUUUAUUAAAAACCAUUUCCCCCCCUCAGACUUGAAUUAUUUAUAAAGCAAAAAUAAUAAUAAUAAUAAUAAUAAUAAUAAUAAUAAUAAUAAUAAUAAUAAUAAUAAUAAUUUCUGUUACUAUCAACAGAAGUGUUACAUUAAAAGUAUAUCAAAGAAACUAUUCUGGAAUUUUCCACUACUCUGCACACGGAAAUUUAUAAGAAUUCUUUGAAAGAAAUUGACCAAGUU